Molecule: ribosomal RNA, 1400 nt
Filed under: Vibrio splendidus
Lineage: Bacteria; Pseudomonadati; Pseudomonadota; Gammaproteobacteria; Vibrionales; Vibrionaceae
Also listed under: 1 other name
Description: partial 23S ribosomal RNA
Rfam family: Bacterial large subunit ribosomal RNA
Source: RNAcentral
UUAACGCUGAGAUACGAUGUCGAGCUACUACGGUAGUGAAGUCAUUGAUGCCAUGCUUCCAGGAAAAGCCUCUAAGCUUCAGAUUGUAAGGAAUCGUACCCCAAACCGACACAGGUGGUCGGGUAGAGAAUACCAAGGCGCUUGAGAGAACUCGGGUGAAGGAACUAGGCAAAAUGGUACCGUAACUUCGGGAGAAGGUACGCUCUUAUCAGUGAAGUCCCUUGCGGAUGGAGCAGACGAGAGUCGCAGAUACCAGGUGGCUGCAACUGUUUAUUAAAAACACAGCACUGUGCAAAAUCGUAAGAUGACGUAUACGGUGUGACGCCUGCCCGGUGCCGGAAGGUUAAUUGAUGGGGUUAGACUUCGGUCGAAGCUCUUGAUCGAAGCCCCGGUAAACGGCGGCCGUAACUAUAACGGUCCUAAGGUAGCGAAAUUCCUUGUCGGGUAAGUUCCGACCUGCACGAAUGGCGUAAUGAUGGCCACGCUGUCUCCACCCGAGACUCAGUGAAAUUGAAAUCGCUGUGAAGAUGCAGUGUACCCGCGGCUAGACGGAAAGACCCCGUGAACCUUUACUACAGCUUGGCACUGAACAUUGAACCUACAUGUGUAGGAUAGGUGGGAGACUAUGAAAUUGCGUCGCUAGAUGUGAUGGAGUCGUCCUUGAAAUACCACCCUUGUAGUUUUGAUGUUCUAACGUUGGUCCCUGAAUCGGGAUUACGGACAGUGCCUGGUGGGUAGUUUGACUGGGGCGGUCUCCUCCCAAAGAGUAACGGAGGAGCACGAAGGUGGGCUAAACACGGUUGGACAUCGUGUGGUUAGUGCAAUGGCAUAAGCCCGCUUGACUGCGAGAAUGACAAUUCGAGCAGGUGCGAAAGCAGGUCAUAGUGAUCCGGUGGUUCUGAAUGGAAGGGCCAUCGCUCAACGGAUAAAAGGUACUCCGGGGAUAACAGGCUGAUACCGCCCAAGAGUUCAUAUCGACGGCGGUGUUUGGCACCUCGAUGUCGGCUCAUCACAUCCUGGGGCUGAAGUCGGUCCCAAGGGUAUGGCUGUUCGCCAUUUAAAGUGGUACGCGAGCUGGGUUUAGAACGUCGUGAGACAGUUCGGUCCCUAUCUGCCGUGGGCGUUGGAAAAUUGAAAGGGGCUGCUCCUAGUACGAGAGGACCGGAGUGGACGAACCUCUGGUGUUCGGGUUGUCAUGCCAAUGGCAUUGCCCGGUAGCUAAGUUCGGAAUCGAUAACCGCUGAAAGCAUCUAAGCGGGAAGCGAGCCUUGAGAUGAGUUUUCCCUGGCACUAUAAGUGUCCUAAAGGGUUGUCGUAGACUACGACGUUGAUAGGCAGGGUGUGUAAGUGCUGCGAGGCAUUGAGCUAACCUGUACUAAUUGCCCGUGAGGCUUAACCAU